Molecule: unclassified non-coding RNA, 253 nt
Filed under: uncultured Bacillaceae bacterium
Lineage: Bacteria; Bacillati; Bacillota; Bacilli; Caryophanales; Bacillaceae
Description: contains 16S-23S intergenic spacer region
Rfam family: Bacterial small subunit ribosomal RNA
Source: RNAcentral
UACGUAGGUGGCAAGCGUUGUCCGGAAUUAUUGGGCGUAAAGCGCGCGCAGGCGGUCUCUUAAGUCUGAUGUGAAAGCCCCCGGCUCAACCGGGGAGGGUCAUUGGAAACUGGGAGACUUGAGUACAGAAGAGGAGAGUGGAAUUCCACGUGUAGCGGUGAAAUGCGUAGAUAUGUGGAGGAACACCAGUGGCGAAGGCGGCUCGCUGGUCCGUUUCUGACGCUGAGGCGCGAAAGCGUGGGGAGCGAACCGG